Molecule: long non-coding RNA, 1465 nt
Organism: Bos indicus x Bos taurus (hybrid cattle)
Lineage: Eukaryota; Metazoa; Chordata; Mammalia; Artiodactyla; Bovidae
Source: Ensembl
GGUCAGAAACUAAAAAAGAAUGCUUCAGAUUCCAAACAGAAGGGAGGAAAAUAGUGCAAGAAUGAACAGAGCAUAUAUUUUGAAGCAGGGUUGCCAAAGCUGGGCUGUAGAAGAAGAUGAAGUUUAUGGCUUCACCAGCAUUUUUGGAUCAAACUGUCCCUUGGAAAAUGGUGUCAUUUACAGUAGUUAAAUGACCUUGAGAAACCAAGCUUCCUCUGGAGAGAAAAGAGCCUAUUUUCUUAAAAGUGCAAAAAGGCUGAUGCUGCUGCUACUGCUAAGUCACUUCAGUCCUGUCCGACUCUGUGUGACCCCAUAGACGGCAGCCCACCAGGCUUCCCCAUCCCUGGGAUUCUCCAGGCAAGAACACUGGAGUGGGUUGCCAUUUCCUUCUCCAAUGCAUGAAAGUGAAAAGUGAAAGUGAAGUCACUCAGUCCUGUCUGACCCUUAGCGACCCCAUGGACUGCAGCCUACCAGGCUCCUGCGUCCAUGGGAUUUUACAGGCAAGAGUACUGGAGUGGGGUGCCAUUGCCUUCUCCGAAAAGGCUGAUAAAGAAAUAGAUCUGAGGAAGCUCCACAGCCACCAGUCACCACUCCCUCCUCCCAAGCCACCUGCUCAUUUGCAGGUCAGUUCUUUCCUUUCUUCUUUGGUCAUCACUAUGAUUCAUGCCCCUCUCCUCUUUCUAAAUGUAACAAGUCCUUUAACAAAAUCUUUAAAAAAUUGAAGGCAAAAGGAGCAGGGGGCAGCAGAGGAUGAGAUGGUUAGAUAGCAUCACUGACUCAAUGGACAUGAAUUUGAGCAAACUCCAGGAGAUAGGAAAGGACAGGGGAGCCUGAUGGGCUAUAGUCCAUGGAGUCACAAAGAGUCGGACACAACUGAAUGACUGAACAACAACACCAAAUGCUUCAUGCCCCCUCUCCUCAUUCUAAGUGUGAUGAAUCCUUUAACCAAGUCUUUAAACAUUUCUCAUUUUGAAAAAUCCAAAUAUAUGCAAAAGUGAAAAGAACAGUUAACUUAAUCGUCCAAUGCCAUCACCCAGAUUUGACAGUUGAGUUUUGCCUCAGUUGCUCCAUGCUUUCCCCACUUUUCUCUGCAAAAGGAUUUUAAAACCAAUCCCAAACCUCAGUAGUAUCUCCCCUUAAUACUUCUAUCCACAACUCUAAGCAUUAUAGAUAUUUUCGUGUGUAGGCAUGCCGUUUUCUCUCUCACAGAAGUCAUUAAUAUCAUUUCCCACACACUCAUACCUAAAGCCUUCUAGUUGUCCCAAAGAAGUCUAUUUACAGUUGACUUGAUUGAACAAUGAUCCUAUCAAGGGCCUUUCGUUGGAUGUGCUUGUUACUUGUCUUCUGUCUGUGUUUAUCUUUUUCUUUCCUGCCACAGAUUUUCUUGAGGACCCAAGUAAAUCAUCCAGAUGCUCAUUUAUUUUCCCACAAUUACAUGUAUUAUUUGAGGACUGAGAGUUGUAGA